AUUGAACGCUGGCGGCAGGCUUAACACAUGCAAGUCGAGCGGUAACAGGAGAAGCUUGCUUCUCGCUGACGAGCGGCGGACGGGUGAGUAAUACUUAGGAAUCUACCUAGUAGUGGGGGAUAGCACGGGGAAACUCGUAUUAAUACCGCAUACGACCUACGGGAGAAAGGGGGCAGUUUACUGCUCUCGCUAUUAGAUGAGCCUAAGUCGGAUUAGCUAGAUGGUGGGGUAAAGGCCUACCAUGGCGACGAUCUGUAGCUGGUCUGAGAGGAUGAUCAGCCACACCGGGACUGAGACACGGCCCGGACUCCUACGGGAGGCAGCAGUGGGGAAUAUUGGACAAUGGGGGAAACCCUGAUCCAGCCAUGCCGCGUGUGUGAAGAAGGCCUUUUGGUUGUAAAGCACUUUAAGCAGUGAAGAAGACUCCAUGGUUAAUACCCAUGGACGAUGACAUUAGCUGCAGAAUAAGCACCGGCUAACUCUGUGCCAGCAGCCGCGGUAAUACAGAGGGUGCAAGCGUUAAUCGGAAUUACUGGGCGUAAAGGGAGCGUAGGUGGCUCUAUAAGUCAGAUGUGAAAUCCCCGGGCUUAACCUGGGAACUGCAUCUGAAACUGUAGAGCUAGAGUAGGUGAGAGGAAGGUAGAAUUCCAGGUGUAGCGGUGAAAUGCGUAGAGAUCUGGAGGAAUACCGAUGGCGAAGGCAGCCUUCUGGCAUCAUACUGACACUGAGGCUCGAAAGCGUGGGUAGCAAACAGG
RNAcentral lists this ribosomal RNA (755 nucleotides) under uncultured bacterium. Its description in RNAcentral is "bacterial SSU rRNA". It matches the Rfam family "Bacterial small subunit ribosomal RNA", at positions 28 to 776 of the family's 1533-position model. The record is from RNAcentral.